This 365-nucleotide long non-coding RNA is filed under the name Marmota monax (woodchuck). Lineage: Eukaryota; Metazoa; Chordata; Mammalia; Rodentia; Sciuridae. The record is from RNAcentral.
CNUUGUAGGAUAUUUAGCAGCAUGCCUGGCCUCAGCUCACUGGGUGCCAGUAGCAGCACCCCCAGCCCAGUAUGAUGCCUGAGAAUGUCUGCAGGUACUGCCCAAGUCUCCUGGGAUGCCAAGGUGCUGGUGGCUGGGAGCCCCACACCCAUCCCUGGUCCUGCAGCAGGGCUCAUCCACACAGACCCUCAGCUGGUUCACUAGCCAGAGAGGAAUGUGGGCUAGGCACCAGAGGACAGGAGAGGACAGGAAAGACUCAUGGAUGAUGAGCCCUGAGGGAUGAGCAGAUGCUGCUUAUCUGGGACUCCAGGGCAUUUCCUAGGCUGCUCAUAACAUAUGCACUUGCUGAACAACAUGCUGCUGGA